GUGUCAGCAGCCGCGGUAAUACGGGGGGAGCAAGCGUUGUUCGGAUUUACUGGGCGUAAAGGGCGCGUAGGCGGCCACUGCAAGUCAAUUGUGAAAUCUCCGGGCUUAACUCGGAAAGGUCAACUGAUACUGCAGGGCUAGAGUGCGGAAGGGGCAACUGGAAUUCUCGGUGUAGCGGUGAAAUGCGUAGAUAUCGAGAGGAACACCUGCGGCGAAGGCGGGUUGCUGGGCCGACACUGACGCUGAGUGUGCGAAAGCUAGGGGAGCGAACGGGAUUAGAAACCCGCGUAGUCC
Molecule: ribosomal RNA, 294 nt
Filed under: uncultured bacterium
Lineage: Bacteria
Description: partial 16S ribosomal RNA
Rfam family: Bacterial small subunit ribosomal RNA
Source: RNAcentral